AUUGAACGCUGGCGGCAUGCUUUACACAUGCAAGUCGAACGGUAACAGGCCGCAAGGUGCUGACGAGUGGCGAACGGGUGAGUAAUGCAUCGGAACGUGCCCAGUCGUGGGGGAUAACUACUCGAAAGAGUAGCUAAUACCGCAUACGAUCUAUGGAUGAAAGCGGGGGACCGUAAGGCCUCGCGCGAUUGGAGCUGCCGAUGUCAGAUUAGGUAGUUGGUGGGGCAAAGGCUCACCAAGCCAACGAUCUGUAGCUGGUCUGAGAGGACGACCGGCCACACUGGGACUGAGACACGGCCCAGACUCCUACGGGAGGCAGCAGUGGGGAAUUUUGGACAAUGGGCGCAAGCCUGAUCCAGCAAUGCCGCGUGCAGGAAGAAGGCCUUCGGGUUGUAAACUGCUUUUGUACGGAACGAAACGACUCUGGUUAAUACCCGGGGCUAAUGACGGUACCGUAAGAAUAAGCACCGGCUAACUACGUG
RNAcentral lists this ribosomal RNA (482 nucleotides) under uncultured bacterium. RNAcentral describes it as "partial 16S ribosomal RNA". It matches the Rfam family "Bacterial small subunit ribosomal RNA", at positions 30 to 507 of the family's 1533-position model. The record is from RNAcentral.